Peromyscus eremicus (cactus mouse) is the source of this 606-nucleotide long non-coding RNA. RefSeq lists it as uncharacterized. The transcript is spliced from 4 exons. Lineage: Eukaryota; Metazoa; Chordata; Mammalia; Rodentia; Cricetidae. The record is from RefSeq and is a predicted model, not a curated record.
UGUUUUGUUUCUACCAGGCUUUAGAACUAGGGAAACUAAAGAUAAAAACCAAAAUAAGAGCUUUCUGAUGCAGCCUGUGGAAUAUGCAGCAGAGAGACCUCUCAUGAUGGUAUUUUCAUAGCUAAGAAGCGUAUAACACAUUUUGGGUAUCUAUUCUUCUGUUGAUUGACAUCAAAGCUGACUCUUGAAUUUAACUGCUGCAGAUGGUUUGACCAUGAGCAUAGAGAUACAGUUGUCUCUGUGGCACACCGCCUUAGAGUUCUUCAUGUAUAUAUUCACACACUAGUGAUGCAAGAGAGGGCAUUCAGAGUCUCAUGGGCCGUGGACAUGAGGAUACUAUGGCUGACCAGGAAGCGAACAGAUGGGGCCACAGUGGCAAGGACCCCAAUCACUACAGACCUGCAGGACUGCCUGACAAAUACUGAGCAUCCUCCUUACUGCCUCAGGAGGCUGUGCUGCGGGCUCUGGGGUCAGGACAUGGGGUUCUUCACUUUUGUGUCUACUGUGGGUGUGGAGGACAUACAGUGCACAAAUAAUAAAUUUGCUCAGGUUCCUGCUUUGCAGAAGAAACUGCCAGAUAUUCUACAGGACACAGAGAGAAGCAAC